GAGGCGCCUCCAGAACCAGAAUGAGUAGCUCAUGCACCUACUCAACAUAGUGAAUGUGAGCUGCUCAUUCUGGUUUUAGAUGCGCUUCC
This 89-nucleotide microRNA precursor is filed under the name Triticum aestivum (bread wheat). RNAcentral describes it as "miR9679 stem-loop (tae-MIR9679)". The record is from miRBase by way of RNAcentral. Lineage: Eukaryota; Viridiplantae; Streptophyta; Magnoliopsida; Poales; Poaceae.